This 533-nucleotide ribosomal RNA is filed under the name Streptomyces sp. DOSMB-SP5. Its description in RNAcentral is "bacterial SSU rRNA". It matches the Rfam family "Bacterial small subunit ribosomal RNA", at positions 88 to 631 of the family's 1533-position model. Lineage: Bacteria; Bacillati; Actinomycetota; Actinomycetes; Kitasatosporales; Streptomycetaceae. The record is from RNAcentral.
GGGAUUAGUGGCGACCGGGUGAGUAACACGUGGGCAAUCUGCCCUGCACUGUGGGACAAGCCCUGGAAACGGGGUCUAAUACCGGAUAAUGAUCAUCUAGGGCAUCCUUGGGGAUCGAAAGCUCCGGCGGUGCAGGAUGAGCCCGCGGCCUAUCAGCUUGUUGUUGAGGUAAUGGCUCACCAAGGCGAAUGACGGGUAGCCGGCCUGAGAGGGCGACCGGCCACACUGGGACUGAGACACGGCCCAGACUCCUACGGGAGGCAGCAGUGGGGAAUAUUGCACAAUGGGCGAAAGCCUGAUGCAGCGACGCCGCGUGAGGGAUCACGGCCUUCGGGUUGUAAACCUCUUUCAGCAGGGAAGAAGCGAAAGUGACGGUACCUGCAGAAGAAGCGCCCGCUAACUACGUGCCAGCAGCCGCGGUAAUACGUAGGGCGCAAGCGUUGUCCGGAAUUAUUGGGCGUAAAGAGCUCGUAGGCGGCUUGUCACGUCGGUAGUGAAACCCCCGGGGCUUAACCCCCCCUCUGCAAUUCCAU